RNAcentral lists this long non-coding RNA (310 nucleotides) under Homo sapiens (human). Its description in RNAcentral is "HSALNT0068749". Lineage: Eukaryota; Metazoa; Chordata; Mammalia; Primates; Hominidae. The record is from RNAcentral.
ACUUUACCAGUUUUAUUCCUGAAUUAAACCUGUUAUUACUAUCAAUAAUGUCAAUCAGUAGGCUCAAUGGGCAAGUAACAGAUCACUCCGAUCGCAGAGGCUUCGGAAAUGCCUUCCACCGUGGUACCAAGGAUGGUUUGCUCUCAGGAGAGGAGGCAGGGGUGGGAAUCAGCACACAGUUCUGCUACAUUUCUCAUGCAGGGCACAGACUAAGUAUUUUGUGCCUUGCUUUGCAGAUGAAAUGUCUCCUGCCCCCUGUCGUUAUAAUAGCUUCAGGCCACAACGGUCAACUUGGUGUCAGGACCUAGAC